This is a long non-coding RNA of Quercus robur (English oak), 705 nucleotides long. RefSeq lists it as uncharacterized. The record is from RefSeq and is a predicted model, not a curated record. NCBI's taxonomy places the organism in Eukaryota, Viridiplantae, Streptophyta, Magnoliopsida, Fagales, Fagaceae. The transcript has 2 exons.
CAGAAAAUCAAAAUUUUAUUUUUUCUAUCUGUCUCUUCCCUGCGCAGCUGCCGUCUCUGUCUCUCUUUCAACCCAUUCUCUGCCUCUCCUUCAAUCCAUUGUCACAGCAGCCCCAGCUCAUACCCAAACACUGAAACUUAGCAUUUGAAACCAAACCCCCAAACACUCACACUCCCUCUUUCUCGUAUGUGAAGCUGUCCCAAGUCCCAACUCUCAUGUAGUGAAGGUCCAUCCCCAACAUAGAAGAAGAUCGAGCAAGACAAGAACAGAACACAGAAAGACAGAAGUCAGAAGAACAACCUCAAAUUCCUCUGCUUCUUUCCACCAUGCACGCUUCAUUCUCGAUCUAGGACUCGCCCUUUCCACAAGAUGUCCUGUACAAGUAAUGCAUUAGGUCAGGAAGGACAUUUGCAAGUGUUGCAUUUGCAAGCUCCGGCCACAAAAAUUGAUGGUGCAAGAGAUCCUCGACUCAAAGAAGUGUUGCAAGUGGAGAGAAUAGGUGGCCCACAAUAUCGAGCAAUUUUUUUAGUUUAGAAUCAUGUUUUUUAAACUUUGGCUAAGUGCUCUAAUGAUUGUUCAUAUGCCAAUUAGUUUGGCAAUGAUGUACUAGUGAUUUGUGUGAGAUGUAUUCAUGAGCAGAUUAUGAUCCUCAUUUUGUUAUUAAAAAAAAUAAAAAAUUCAGCACCUAUGUGCAAUUUAUACAAA